This 435-nucleotide ribosomal RNA is filed under the name uncultured cyanobacterium. RNAcentral's name for it is "bacterial SSU rRNA". It matches the Rfam family "Bacterial small subunit ribosomal RNA", at positions 365 to 815 of the family's 1533-position model. Lineage: Bacteria; Bacillati; Cyanobacteriota. The record is from RNAcentral.
UUCGCAAUGGGCGCAAGCCUGCCGGAGCAACCCCGCGUGAGGGAUGAAGGCCUUUGGGCUGUAAACCUCUUUUAUCAAGGAAGAAGAUUUGACGGUACUUGAUGAAUAAGCCCCGGCUAAUUCUGUGCCACCACCCGCGGUAAUACGGGAGUGGCAAGCGUUAUCCGGAAUUAUUGGGGGUAAAAAGUCCGCAGGGGGUUUUUCAAAUGUGUGGUUAAAACGUGGAGCUCAACUCCAUUUAGCCGAUGGAAACUGUAAGACUAGAGUGUGGUAGGGGCAGAGGGAAUUCCCGGUGUAGCGGGGAAAAGCGUAGAUAUAGGGAGGAACACCAGUGGGGAAGGGGCUCUGCUGGGCCAUAACUGACGCUCAGGGACGAAAGAUAGGGGAGAGAAAGGGAUUAGAUACCCCUGUAUUCCUCCCCGUAAACGAUGACCA